GAUGAACGCUGGCGGCGUGCCUAAUACAUGCAAGUCGAGCGAACGGACGAGAAGCUUGCUUCUCUGAUGUUAGCGGCGGACGGGUGAGUAACUCGUGGAUAACCUACCUAUAAGACUGGGAUAACUUCGGGAAACCGGAGCUAAUACCGGAUAAUAUUUUGAACCGCAUGGCUCAAAAGUGAAAGACGGUCUUGCUGUCACUUAUAGAUGGAUCCGCGCUGCAUUAGCUAGUUGGUAAGGUAACGGCUUACCAAGGCAACGAUGCAUAGCCGACCUGAGAGGGUGAUCGGCCACACUGGAACUGAGACACGGUCCAGACUCCUACGGGAGGCAGCAGUAGGGAAUCUUCCGCAAUGGGCGAAAGCCUGACGGAGCAACGCCGCGUGAGUGAUGAAGGUCUUCGGAUCGUAAAACUCUGUUAUUAGGGAAGAACAUAUGUGUAAGUAACUGUGCACAUCUUGACGGUACCUAAUCAGAAAGCCACGGCUAACUACGUG
Molecule: ribosomal RNA, 497 nt
Filed under: uncultured bacterium
Lineage: Bacteria
Description: partial 16S ribosomal RNA
Rfam family: Bacterial small subunit ribosomal RNA
Source: RNAcentral